RNAcentral lists this ribosomal RNA (440 nucleotides) under uncultured bacterium. Its description in RNAcentral is "partial 16S ribosomal RNA". It matches the Rfam family "Bacterial small subunit ribosomal RNA", at positions 338 to 795 of the family's 1533-position model. The record is from RNAcentral.
CCUACGGGUGGCAGCAGUGGGGGAUAUUGCACAAUGGGGGGAACCCUGAUGCAGCGACGCCGCGUGGGUGAAGAAGCGCCUCGGCGCGUAAAGCUCUGUCAGUAGGGAAGAAAAUGACGGUACCUGUAGAAGAAGCCAUGGCUAAAUACGUGCCAGCAGCCGAGGUAAUACGGAGGGUGCAAGCGUUAUCCGGAUUUACUGGGUGUAAAGGGGGUGUAGACGGCGAUGCAAGCCAGGAGUGAAAGCCCGGGGCCCAACCCCGGGACUGCACGUGGAACUGCGUGGCUGGAGUGCAGGAGGGGCAGGCGGAAUGCGUGGUGUAGCGGUGAAAUGCGUAGAUAUCAGGAGGAACACCGAUGGCGAAGGCAGCCGGCUGGACUGCAACUGACGUUGAGGCCCGAAAGCGUGGGGAGCAAACAGGAUUAGAUACCCCAGUAGUC